Molecule: ribosomal RNA, 428 nt
Filed under: Fusobacteriota bacterium
Lineage: Bacteria; Fusobacteriati; Fusobacteriota
Description: Fusobacteria bacterium partial 16S ribosomal RNA
Rfam family: Bacterial small subunit ribosomal RNA
Source: RNAcentral
UGGGGAAUCUUCCGCAAUGGACGAAAGUCUGACGGAGCAACGCCGCGUGAGUGAAGACGGCCUUCGGGUUGUAAAGCUCUGUGAUCCGGGACGAAAGAGCCUGAGGUGAAUAGCCUAAGGAAGUGACGGUACCGGAAAAGCAAGCCACGGCUAACUACGUGCCAGCAGCCGCGGUAAUACGUAGGUGGCAAGCGUUGUCCGGAAUUAUUGGGCGUAAAGCGCGCGCAGGCGGCUUCCAAGUCCAUCUUAAAAGUGCGGGGCUUAACCCCGUGAUGGGAUGGAAACUGGGAAGCUGGAGUAUCGGAGAGGAAAGUGGAAUUCCUAGUGUAGCGGUGAAAUGCGUAGAGAUUAGGAAGAACACCGGUGGCGAAGGCGACUUUCUGGACGAAAACUGACGCUGAGGCGCGAAAGCGUGGGGAGCAAACAGG